Molecule: small nuclear RNA, 87 nt
Filed under: Vicugna pacos (alpaca)
Lineage: Eukaryota; Metazoa; Chordata; Mammalia; Artiodactyla; Camelidae
Source: RNAcentral
UUGCUUCAGCAGCACAUGCACUAAAACUGGAUCAGUACAGAGAUUAGCAAUGAUGACACGCAAAUGCGUGAAGUGUUCCAUAUUUUU